RNAcentral lists this long non-coding RNA (480 nucleotides) under Heterocephalus glaber (naked mole-rat). RNAcentral describes it as "lncRNA (ENSHGLG00000035529.1)". The record is from RNAcentral. Lineage: Eukaryota; Metazoa; Chordata; Mammalia; Rodentia; Bathyergidae.
GUGAAGCCUAGGCCAUGGCCGGGGCCCUCUGGUCCCCCUAACCCUGCAUCUGGGAGCCUUGGAAUGGGCCACAGCAGCCCAGGAAGGCACUGAGCACUGUGUCUGGGCACCUGGUCCUCCCUGGGCCGGGCGUGUUGGGGCAGCGGUGACUGCCUGAUCCGAGCCGGGCUCCAGGAGUCACACGGACCGCUAGUGGCCGUCUCCGGAGGCUUGGCGACCCAACGGGCCCAGGUGAGUGGAUUGGUUGGCAUUGGCCCUUUCCGACUUGAGUCUCCACUUGGCAUUUCUGGGUGGGCAGAGCCCCUUGCCCGCUGCCCAGGGAGACACCAACUUUGAUAGUUCUGUAGAUAAGUGGCUUCCAGGCCUGUUGACACAGCUCCCCUAGAGACAGCUCCUCUGGGCCGGGGGCCAUCCAGCCCUCGGCAGGGGUGAGAGACAGCAGGAGGUGGAGAUGGCAGGGGAGCCCUGUUUCGAGGUGCU